AUUGAACGCUGGCGGCAUGCCUUACACAUGCAAGUCGAACGGCAGCACGGGAGCAAUCCUGGUGGCGAGUGGCGAACGGGGUGAGUAAUAUAUCGGAACGUGCCCAGUAGUGGGGGGAUAGCCCGGCGAAAGCCGGAUUAAUACCGCAUACGACCUGUGGGUGAAAGCGGGGGAUCGCAAGACCUCGCGCUAUUGGAGCGGCCGAUAUCAGAUUAGCUAGUUGGUGGGGUAAAGGCCUACCAAGGCGACGAUCUGUAGCUGGUCUGAGAGGACGACCAGCCACACUGGGACUGAGACACGGCCCAGACUCCUACGGGAGGCAGCAGUGGGAAUUUUGGACAAGUGGGCGCAAGCCUGAUCCAGCCCAUGCCGCGUGUGGGAAGAA
This 385-nucleotide ribosomal RNA is filed under the name uncultured bacterium. Its description in RNAcentral is "bacterial SSU rRNA". It matches the Rfam family "Bacterial small subunit ribosomal RNA", at positions 29 to 412 of the family's 1533-position model. The record is from RNAcentral.